This 253-nucleotide ribosomal RNA is filed under the name uncultured bacterium. RNAcentral's name for it is "partial 16S ribosomal RNA". It matches the Rfam family "Bacterial small subunit ribosomal RNA", at positions 524 to 776 of the family's 1533-position model. The record is from RNAcentral.
UACGUAGGCAGCAAGCGUUGUUCGGAGUUACUGGGCGUAAAGGGUGUGUAGGCGGUUGGAUAAGUGUGGUGUGAAAUCUCCCGGCUCAACUGGGAGGGUGCGCUACAAACUGUCUGACUAGAGUGUGGGAUGGGUAAGUGGAAUUCCUGGUGUAGCGGUGAAAUGCGCAGAUAUCAGGAGGAACACCAAUGGCGAAGGCAGCACUCUGGGACGUGACUGACGCUGAGACGCGAAAGCGUGGGGAGCAAACAGG